AACGAACGCUGGCGGCAGGCUUAACACAUGCAAGUCGAACGCCCCGCAAGGGGAGUGGCAGCCGGGUGGGUAACGCGUGGGAACAUACCCUUUUCUACGGAAUAGCUCUGGGAAACUGGAAUUAAUACCGUAUACGCCCUACGGGGGGAAGAGUUAUCGGGGAAGGAUUGGCCCGCGUUGGAUUAUCUAGUUGGUGGGGUAAAGGCCUACCAAGGCGACGAUCCAUAGCUGGUCUGAGAGGAUGAUCAGCCACAUUGGGACUGAGACACGGCCCAAACUCCUACGGGAGGCAGCAGUGGGGAAUAUUGGAGAAUGGGCGCAAGCCUGAUCCAGCCAUGCCGCGUGAGUGAUGAAGGCCUUAGGGUUGUAAAGCUCUUUCACCGAUGAAGAUAAUGACGGUAGUCGGAGAAGAAGCCCCGGCUAACUUCGUG
This 431-nucleotide ribosomal RNA is filed under the name uncultured bacterium. RNAcentral describes it as "partial 16S ribosomal RNA". It matches the Rfam family "Bacterial small subunit ribosomal RNA", at positions 29 to 507 of the family's 1533-position model. The record is from RNAcentral.